Molecule: ribosomal RNA, 751 nt
Filed under: uncultured Actinomyces sp.
Lineage: Bacteria; Bacillati; Actinomycetota; Actinomycetes; Actinomycetales; Actinomycetaceae
Description: bacterial SSU rRNA
Rfam family: Bacterial small subunit ribosomal RNA
Source: RNAcentral
GACGAACGCUGGCGGCGUGCUUAACACAUGCAAGUCGAACGCUGAAGCCCAGCUUGCUGGGUGGAUGAGUGGCGAACGGGUGAGUAACACGUGAGUAACCUGCCCCCUUCUUUGGGAUAACGCCCGGAAACGGGUGCUAAUACUGGAUAUUCACUGGCCUUCGCAUGGGGGUUGGUGGAAAGGUUUUUUCUGGUGGGGGAUGGGCUCGCGGCCUAUCAGCUUGUUGGUGGGGUGAUGGCCUACCAAGGCUUUGACGGGUAGCCGGCCUGAGAGGGUGACCGGUCACAUUGGGACUGAGAUACGGCCCAGACUCCUACGGGAGGCAGCAGUGGGGAAUAUUGCACAAUGGGCGAAAGCCUGAUGCAGCGACGCCGCGUGAGGGAUGACGGCCUUCGGGUUGUAAACCUCUUUCGCUCAUGGUCAAGCCGCAGCUUUGGGUUGUGGUGAGGGUAGUGGGUAAAGAAGCGCCGGCUAACUACGUGCCAGCAGCCGCGGUAAUACGUAGGGCGCGAGCGUUGUCCGGAAUUAUUGGGCGUAAAGGGCUUGUAGGCGGUUGGUCGCGUCUGCCGUGAAAUCCUCUGGCUUAACUGGGGGCGUGCGGUGGGUACGGGCUGACUUGAGUGCGGUAGGGGAGACUGGAACUCCUGGUGUAGCGGUGGAAUGCGCAGAUAUCAGGAAGAACACCGGUGGCGAAGGCGGGUCUCUGGGCCGUUACUGACGCUGAGGAGCGAAAGCGUGGGGAGCGGACAGG